Molecule: ribosomal RNA, 468 nt
Filed under: uncultured bacterium
Lineage: Bacteria
Description: partial 16S ribosomal RNA
Rfam family: Bacterial small subunit ribosomal RNA
Source: RNAcentral
GACGAACGCUGGCGGCGUGCUUAACACAUGCAAGUCGAACGGAAAGGCCCUGCUUUUGUGGGGUGCUCGAGUGGCGAACGGGUGAGUAACACGUGAGUAACCUGCCCUUGACUUUGGGAUAACUUCAGGAAACUGGGGCUAAUACCGGAUAGGAGCUCCUGCUGCAUGGUGGGGGUUGGAAAGUUUCGGCGGUUGGGGAUGGACUCGCGGCUUAUCAGCUUGUUGGUGGGGUAGUGGCUUACCAAGGCUUUGACGGGUAGCCGGCCUGAGAGGGUGACCGGCCACAUUGGGACUGAGAUACGGCCCAGACUCCUACGUUAGGCAGCAGUGGGGAAUAUUGCACAAUGGGCGGAAGCCUGAUGCAGCAACGCCGCGUGCGGGAUGACGGCCUUCGGGUUGUAAACCGCUUUCGCCUGUGACGAAGCGUGAGUGACGGUCAUGGGUAAAGAAGCACCGGCUAACUACCUG